UACGUAGGGUGCAAGCGUUGUCCGGAAUUAUUGGGCGUAAAGAGCUCGUAGGCGGUCUGUCGCGUCUGCUGUGAAAACUCAGGGCUUAACCCUGAGCUUGCAGUGGGUACGGGCAGACUAGAGUGCGGUAGGGGAGACUGGAAUUCCUGGUGUAGCGGUGAAAUGCGCAGAUAUCAGGAGGAACACCGGUGGCGAAGGCGGGCCUCUGGGCAGUAACUGACGCUGAGGAGCGAAAGCGUGGGGAGCAAACAGG
Molecule: ribosomal RNA, 253 nt
Filed under: uncultured bacterium
Lineage: Bacteria
Description: partial 16S ribosomal RNA
Rfam family: Bacterial small subunit ribosomal RNA
Source: RNAcentral